UCAGUGGGUUUUUUUUUCUUAACUUUCCUUUAGUGAGAUGGCUGUGCUCGUUCCCGUGAAUUCCAAACGAGUUCUGUGGACGGUCGGCAGGAGGCGAGGCCAGUCAGCGCAGUCCUCUUCCACACCCACCACUGGAAAUUAAGAACGCCUUGAAGAUUUGUAUCUGUGCAGCCUGGCUGCCUCCCUGCCUCCAGAUGAAUGAAGAACACUCCGGAACACAGAGACGCUGCUGAUACAGGGCAUGCAGGUGUUUCUGCAAAUAUGAUGAAGAAAAAGAAUCCCAAUAAAAAACAUAAGAGCAAUCUGGGUCCAGCCACCAAAGUAUUGUCACAACCUCGCCGUAACAUUGUUGGCUGUAGAAUCCAACACAUCUGGAAGGAUGGAAGUGGACAUGUGGUAUGGAAAGGCACCGUACUCGACCAGGUUCCAGUGAAUCCUUCCCUCUAUCUGAUCAAGUAUGAUGGCUUUGACUGCGUGUAUGGUCUGGAGCUUCAUAAAGAUGAGAGAGUUCAGGGCCUGGAGGUGCUCCCUGACAGACUCGCUAAAUCCCGCCUGACAGACAUCAAUCUAGCGGACGCCAUGAUAGGCAAAGCGGUAGAACACAUGUUUGAGACGGAGGAGGGACCAAAGGAGGAAUGGAGGGGGAUGGUGCUGGCCCGGGCUCCCAUCAUGACCACCUGGUUUUAUAUAACCUAUGAGAAAGAUCCCGUCCUCUACAUGUACCAGCUGCUGGACGACUUUAAAGAAGGCGACCUUCGCAUCAUGCCUGAUUCCAAUGACACUGUCCCAGCAGAGAGGGAACCGGGCGAGGUGGUGGACAGUCUGGUGGGCAAACAAGUGGAGUACGCAAAAGAGGACGGAGGCAAACGAACAGGCAUGGUCAUCCACCAGGUGGAGGCCAAGCCUUCUGUCUACUUCAUCAAGUUCGACGAUGACCACCUGAUUUACGUCUACGACUUGGUCAAAACGUCGUAAGACUCAGCCGACGCCCAGGUCCCGUCUCCCAGGACACAUCGACCCAGUACAUGUUUCGCAGACCCUUAAAAGGCUUUUGGCGGGCUUCUUUCAGUGUUAACUAAGUUGUACUUUGAAAAAUUUGAAAAAUACAGCAUCAUAUAAUCCAAGCGUAUCAAAACAUAACAAUAUGACUGAGAAAUGUAGCCAUCGUACUCAAACGAUUGUGAGCUGGUACCAUCCACUAGAGGAGACAAACUCAUCAAGUACUCACAAAAUAUUUGUUAGUAUUGCCAUCCUCAAGUCCAUUACUGUCACAAAUACUGGAAUUCUUCAUUUAAGCUCACAUACAAUAUAGAAAUCUAAACGAUGCUACACCAAACCUUUAACAAUGUUAGCUAUGUAUCUUCUUACAUAACUUUGUAAUGUAUGUAUUUUAAUAACACAUUGUUAUUGAUAUUACGCAGUGUUUUACGUCGCAAUCAUUUAUUUGUGGCGGUUACAUUUGGCCUACCUGUUGUCCUCGCUCAUAAAUAAACACAUUAAAAUGGGACUGUGUGGGAAUUAGAGGUGUCCCGAUUCCGAUUCAGCAAAAAAACAUGGAUAUAAAAUCUUUGAUUCAAGCACUCCCGGAACUUGUUUACUUGACAGCCAGUUGACAUUUAAAAGUCCUCCGAUAAGCACACAAGGUUGGUCUUUUCGUGUAUUUUAGUCAAGCCAUUUACAAAAGGUAAACAUGGUAGGCUAUAGGGUACUCGGGAGCUCGCAGCUACACAACAGCUUAGCCCACAAUAGCACACAAGCUAAACAUAAGUGUCUUUAAAUGAACAAUAUUGCGGUUUUAAAUAGCACAUUUGUCAAAUAUAGUACCGUAUUUUUCGGAGUAUAAGUCGCUCCGGAGUAUAAGUCGCUCCGGAGUAUAAGUCGCACCGGCCAAAAAUGCAUAAUAAAGAAGGAAAAAAACAUAAGUCGCACUGGAGUAUAAGUCGCAUUUUUUGGGGAAAUUUAUUUGAUAAAACCCAACACCAAGAAUAGACAUUUGAAAGGCAAUUUAAAAUAAAUAAAGAACAGUGAACAACAGGCUGAAUAAGUGUACGUUAUAUGAGGCAUAAAUAACCAACUGAGAACGCGCCUGGUAUGUUAACGUGACAUAUUAUGGUAAGAGUCAUUCAAAUAACUAUAACCUAUAGAACAUGCUAUACGUUUACCAAACAAUCUGUCACUCCUAAUCGCUAAAUCCCAUGAAAUCUUAUACGUUUAGUCUCUUACGUGAAUGAGCUAAAUAAUAUUAUUUGAUAUUUUACGGUAAUGUGUUAAUAAUUUCACACAUAAGUCGCUCCUGAGUAUAAGUCGCACCCCCCGGCCAAACUAUGAAAAAAACUGUGACUUGUAGUACGAAAAAUACGGUAUUUAAUAUAUAUAUUAUUUACACAAACAAAGUCGUAAGUGUAUUAUAAAAAUAUCCAGUAACAAAUGUGUCCGCAUCAUUGAACUUAUGGCGUCUUUAGUUGAACUGAAUUAAUGGGUGUCAACAAAAAAAACUAUUGUCACCCUACUUUAACUUAAAGACAGCAUACGUCCAUUCCAGAUGGUUAAUAAUAAAUAUAUUUUUUCAUACCUACCAUUGUUCUUUGAGUCAUUUCACUUGACCAAACAUUGUAUUACAUUCCAAACGUAUUACUGCUGAUAUUGUAUCAGAUCGAUGCCGGUAUUGGCGAAUACUCGUAUCGGGACACCCCUAAUGUGAAUGUAGCUCGUCGCUCCAAGUCCGUACAUUAGAUUGCGUCGUAACUCCACUUGAAUUGCAACUUUUCGUGUGGACAACUUCCAUUUAGCGAAUGUUUUGACCCCUCUAGAUUCUGGCAAGCAUCCAAUCUAUCGACUUUUUUGGUGUUUUUGGUGUUAACACUUUUGGAGACUUAACGUGAAACGCGGCUUCGACUGACGUUAAAAAAAAAAAAAAAGCAACAGAAGUAAGUUUGUAUUUCGAAACAUAUUUUAGAUAUAUAUAUAUGUAUGCUGACAUUUUGCUCAAACAACAUCCUUUAAAAAAAACAACUAUAUGGGUCAAACGAUACUGAAGCAUCGACGCAUUAUGAAAAACAAGGAGUGAUACUGUGUCCUCCAUACCUUGAUGUGUGUCACUUUAAGAAAAAAAAUCAUGUCGUUACAAAUCGAUACAACUCCUGUGUCAUUUGACUGUGAAGCGUCACACUGUGUUUAUCAGAAAACUUAUUUUGGCGGACAGGUGACAGCUCGUACUGAAAGUAUUCAGAGGAGUGGUGUGUCGUGUUUGACAUCGGUUUUUGUCGCCAUCAUCGAUGUAAAUGGAAUUAAGUGCAGCUGAGAUAGUCUUCAUCCCCCCAUGACUCCGAAAGGGACAAGCGGUAAAAAAUAGGUGAGUAGAUGGAAAAAAUUCCAAAGUGUGGGGUCAUUUUGAUCUUAUAUCGGCAAAUAAUGUAAAUGCUCUUUUUAUGUUUACUAUUUGGUUCAUUGACGAGAGCGUCACAUUUCAUCAUCCUUUCUGCACAGCUGUUUGUUUAAAAAAAAAAAAUAGUUUGCUCUUAAUUUUAUUUGUUGGUGUAAUGUAGUGACUUUCUUAAUCCAGCAGAUGUCGCCAUUAUGAAACCCCAAGACAGUGUCAGUGCAUCAUCAAUACAGCCAGUGGGUGUGCCACACACUCCCCACUAAUGGCCAGUUAUGGAGAUAGACGAUGCAAUCGCACACAACCCAACACGAAAUACCGCCGCUAAUGUUGGUUCAGAAGGCCUCUGGCAGAAUUCAUCCAGCGCUGGCAACUCGCUAGCUGAAUUCUGAUUGGAUAAAAGCUGUGAGGGCACACCACUGGAUUGGGGUAUGUCGUUUUUUACUUUAGAAUAAUGCUAAGGUCUCUCGUAUUCAUGUUGGCAUUUAAGACGAGGCGAGUUUAUUUUUUAGAAACGAUUCGUACACAAGGCAAUUCAAAGUGCUUUACAGAAAGUUACAAGAAAGCAAAAAUAAUAAUAAAGACAAUCAUAAUUCCAAUCAAAAAAGUGUCGAUAAAAUACUUUUGGUUGUCAUUUGCACAGUUAAGUGUUUUCAGCUUGGAUUUGAACAUUGCCAACGACCUGUUUUACAUCUUCUGGAAGACAAUUCCAGAUUUUAGGAGGAUAAAACUGAAACGCAGUUUCACCAUGUUUAGUCCGGACUCUAGGCGCCAGGAUGAAACCACUCCCUGAGGUUCUAAGAGCUGGAGAUGGUUCAUAUGGUUCGAACUCGUCAGAUACCGUAUUUUUCGGAGUAUAAGUCGCUCCGGAGUAUAAGUCGCACCGGCCGAAAAUGCAUAAUAAAGAAGAAAAAAAAACAUAUAUAAGUCGCACUGGAGUAUAAGUCGCAUUUUUGGGGGAAAUGUAUUUGAUAAAACCCAACACCAAGAAUAGACAUUUGAAAGGCAAUUUUAAAUAAAUAAAGAAUAGUGAACAACAGGCUGAAUAAGUGUACGUUAUAUGACGCAUAAAUAACCAACUGAGAACGUGCCUGGUAUGUUAACGUAACAUAUUAUGGUAAGAGUCAUUCAAAUAACUAUAACAUAUAGAACAUGCUAUACGUUUACCAAACAAUCUGUCACUCCUAAUCGCUAAAUCCCAUGAAAUCUUAUACGUCUAGUCUCUUACGUGAAUGAGCUAAAUAAUAUUAUUUGAUAUUUAACGGUAAUGUGUUAAUAAUUUCACACAUAAGUCGCUCCUGAGUAUAAGUCGCAUCCCCGGCCAAACUAUGAAAAAAAACUGCGACUUAUAGUCCGAAAAAUACGCUACGUACUUUGGCACAAGACUUGUACACGAGGAGAGCGGUUUUAAAGUCCAUCCCCUGACCGACUGGAAGCAAGUGCAAGUGACCUAAGCACUGGACUAAUAUGGUCCUAUUUCCCAGUUCUAGUCCGGACUCGAGCAGCAGCAUUCUGUGUGUACUGCAGCUGCUUUAGAGGGCCCAGUGAGAAUGCUAUUAUAGUACUGCUGGAGACAAAGGCAUGGACUAGUCUUCCUAAGUCUGAUUUAGACAUUAUUCCUCUGAUUUUGGCAAUGUUUCAACUAGCAAAAAGCUGCAGGUGUUAUUGAUUUAUUGUGACAGUUAAAGUUUAGGUCUGAGUCCAUUAUUACCCCUAGAUGAUGAUAGUAUAUAUUUGCACCAUGAAUUGAUUACGUGGACCCCGACUUAAACAAGUUGAAAAACUUAUUCGGGUGUUACCAUUUAGUGGUCAAUUGUACGGAAUAUGUACUGAACUGUGCGAUCUACUAAUAAAAGUUUCAAUCAAUCAAUCAAUCAAUCAAUGUUUAACCUUUCAGAAAGAGGAUCUCAAGGGGACUAUCAGUAUUUUGUCUUUGCCACAGACAAGUUAAAGAAAAUAGUUUUGCAUCCACACACUGAUCUGUUCGUGUUCGUAUUACCUAUGUCAGUUUACGCAGGUGCAGUUAUCAAUCACAGUUUUACUAUAACCUUAAUUUGAAAUGCUGAUGCUAACUGUCUGGAGUUUUACUGCAAUAUUUCAUAAAUAUUGUUACGUCCCCAGGCACACAGUGCCAAUGUUUCUUGUGUUGUCCGUCGUAAACUUUUGUUCGUGCUCAGAGACAAAUUAAAUUAGCCCUAAUGUGCGAGGAAGUUGGACAAAGUUGCUUAAAUGGCGGCUAACAUCAAAUCCUGGAGGGUCUGAUUAUUCACGUUAAAAACCUCUAAAGGCUUAGUGGCCACAUGCGUGGACAGCACCUUUUAGCUCUUAUUUCCAAACUUGUGUACACUACUGAAUUGGGGUCUUAUGGCCACAUAUGUGGACACUUAUACUGCCAUCUGGUGGUGUCAGAAGGGUAUAACAUACAAUGAAAGUUGGGAAAAAAAUUGUAAAAAUAAGAAUUAGCAUGUCACUACACAUGAAGCACACAUUUGUGUACUUAUGGACUAAGUACAUCAUAUAAAAAGAUGAUUCUUAGUUUUUAUUCUAAUUAGGGUCCAAUAAGCCCAAAUAGCAAAGAGAAUUUUUUUAAAAAGCAUGUAAACAAACAGCUUAAGAGGUUUUAAACCAGAUUAAUUUCAGUUUUGUGUUCGUGUUUCUUGUCCUCCAUUUCUACCACAAACAUUUGCUUUGUGAUUAGUUCAAAAUUCCGUCAUGUGACGGUUUGAGGGUUGAAGAGACAUAUUAUUUCAUCCUAAAUUAAAAAAAAAAAAGAAGUGAGGGAAAGGUGAGUGAUCAUUGAAAGUCAAUCUGGGGAGUGCAUGAGCAGACGAGUAUGUUCAAACUUCAUCUUGUGGACUUGUGAUGUAGAUAGUUGCCAAAGCAGAUAGAUGACAGCUAUUAUUAAUACCUGCACAAAAAAGACUCUGAGACGUAUAUAUGUGUAUGUAGUAUGAUCAUCUCGACGCGCACGGUUUUUAAUUGGUUCCGAUAUUGCAAACACACAUUUUGGCAGCAAUGUUCCAGUUGCUUCAUUUUGCGAUUAUUGUUGUUGACGUCGGAAUAAUAUGAGCUUUUUCUAUCAUCCUGCCUUGUAUUUUAUUCUAUUUUUUUGUAUGAUUAAAAAUGGUGUGUUCAUUUUUAUUGUUCAUGAAAAAAAUGUGGUUUGUGGUUCUUUGCAGUGCCGUGCUGCUUCACACAAUGCCGAUAUUUACAUUGUAGCUGCUGUAUGUUAUAGCUGUAACCCAACACUUGAAAUGUCAUAAAAUAGGCCAUAAACAGCCUUUGCAGUCCC
This is an RNA transcript of Entelurus aequoreus (snake pipefish), 6671 nucleotides long. It is a transcript of the gene named spindlin-Z-like, with no coding region annotated. Lineage: Eukaryota; Metazoa; Chordata; Actinopteri; Syngnathiformes; Syngnathidae. The transcript is spliced from 8 exons. The record is from RefSeq and is a predicted model, not a curated record.